AGAAGGGCCACAUCUGGUGACACCAGAAGAGACAGCUGAGCUGAGGCUGAGGCUGAGGCUCAGUCUCCACAAUAAACGAUGGAGCUUAUCUGAAAUUCAAAGCAGAGGAAACUGGAAAGGCAGUUUGCUCACUGGGCCAAAGGCUCCCAGCCAAUCACAACAAACAUGGAGCAGUGGCGGUCUGAAAGUGCAACUCUGGGUGUUAGAGAACAUGCUGUUCUCUGAAGUGGGAUUCUGAUUCCAGACAUUCUACAGCCUGACAUCCACUGGGAAAGUGAUGACACCAUUAAUUAUUUAAAGGUUUGAAAACCACAAGAACUACUGUAUAUAACUAG
Pelodiscus sinensis (Chinese soft-shelled turtle) is the source of this 335-nucleotide non-coding RNA. Lineage: Eukaryota; Metazoa; Chordata; Testudines; Trionychidae. The record is from RefSeq and is a predicted model, not a curated record.